Molecule: long non-coding RNA, 643 nt
Filed under: Numida meleagris (helmeted guineafowl)
Lineage: Eukaryota; Metazoa; Chordata; Aves; Galliformes; Numididae
Description: lncRNA (ENSNMEG00000019102.1)
Source: RNAcentral
UUCACUGAGUUCAUUAACUGAAGAAAGCGUGCGUGCGUAUAUGUGUGUUCUUGUAAUGUGGCACAAUUUAUACCGUUUUAUAUCCCUGAAUUAUAUUUUCUUCUCAAUUUUGCUGCUCUCUAUUUCUUUUUUUUUUUUUUUUUUUUUUUUUUUUUGCAAGUAGGUUCUGAAGACAUUGUGCUCAACAGUGGGAUUAUUUUUCUUUCCAUAGUAGAAAAGGUGGAAACAUCUCUUAACCUCUGUCUCUCUCUCUUAGGGUCAGAAGGAUGUGGUGGAUGCCAUUUGCCAGCAGUAGUGAUGACUUCCUUGGGCUCAUAGGACUGCGCACAGAACGCACUUCUAUUUCAACAUCACUAAGAGAGUUUAAUGGAAUGACCCCAAAAAUUCAGCUGGGGAUUUCCUCACCUUCCUUCUUUGGGGGCCCCAUCAUUAGCAAGGUCACUGGGACUUCAGGAAACCUCUGAGGCUACAUGGGAUUUAACUUGUUUCACCCUGCACUUUUGGUUCUGCAUAAACUUUGUAAUUAUAUUUUUUCUUUCUUAUUUUGAAUGGAUUUUUGCAAUAUAUUGCUGUACUUUCAAUAUAAACAAAGUAUUAGUACUUAAUUUGUGCAGAUUCUUAUCCAAUAAUCGGCAGAGCUGUC